CCCUGUGGUUAGAAGACACCUUUAUAUUGGAAAACUUUAUUUCUGAAAUAUUUCAAGGGGAGGAGGGAGAGGAAGCAAAAACAAAUUCCAGAGAACAAUGAGAGAUGAGGUUUAAAGACCUCAGCAUCACUACCAAUAACCCCAACCAAAAAUUAAAAAAAAAACUAUUUUCCUUCCAGAUCAGAAUUGUUGAAUUUCUUGCACUUCAAGAGGCUGUAACUUGUCAGUUUACCUCUUCCAUUUAAAUAUUUCAAGGGCUGAUGUAUAUACACAGUCAACCUACUGCCUUGUACAUUACUUUCUCCAAAUGCUUUUUAGCAUCUUUGCUAUGUUCUGUGCAUUAAAUUCAAAAAGAAAAAAAGAAACAUUUACUGUAUGCUUUUAGCAUAAUUGUACCAUUGUCCAUUUAAAAUACCUCAUAGGUUAUGUAAGUAUUUAUUCAUAUAAUAUAUUAUACAGGAAGGAUGUAGAUCUCCAACCAAUUGCAUGGUAGGCUCCUACAGGGGAAAUUCCCUUUCUCAAUGCAUAUGGACUACCGCUAUGACUUAGAAAAUGAAUGUCUGAGGCUCAUAGAGAUCUAAUAGUGUGUCCAGGGUCACAAAGUUGUUGGAGAGGGAAUUUCAACCCAUGUCUUCCUGAUCCCAAUCUAGCACUCUACUCCUCAUGCCACAUUUCCUUUCUAACUAUUCCAUAAAAUGGUGCUUGGCUUUGAGAAAUACUUUGCCAGAGGAUCUGUUUCUCUGCAUACUUACCGUUUAAGCCAUGUGUAUAUGUCUAUACCCACACACACGCAGUGAACUAGAGAAUUGAGUCAAACAUUGAGAUAACUCAUUGCUUUUUUUUUCAUUACAUGGAUAAGUCAGGUUAAGUGCCCCUUUGAUCUGAAAGAUCCUAUUGGAUAGUUAGACAAUGCACGGUUGUAGGAAGGAUAGUAAGUGGAGGUGGAUGUUUAGUAAAGAGACCCCUUAGUAAGCAGGCAGCCAUUUGCUGACUGGGUUAGUUCCUGAGCCUUUCUAGACCUUAAUUUUUCUCAUCUGUAGAAGAAGUUGAACCAGAUGUUGUUGAAGAUCCUUUCCAUCAUCAAUUAGUAUAAUUCUUUGACUCUGCCAUUUUGCAUUAGAAGCAUAAGAUCUAUGGGGGGCAAUGCAGGAAGUGCUGGCUCUGCAGUAGGAUUCAAGUACCUGGAUUCAAAUCUUACCUCCUACACACAUAUGUGUAUAUGUAUAUCAUGAGGUUACAUAAUACAUAUAUGCGCAUAGGUGUAUAAACACACAAACUAGUGUGUAUACACACAUACAAACAAGCCACUGCAACUCUCUGGGCUUUAGGAAAAUAAGAACGUUAGAGGAGUUCGAAGAUAUCAAACUCAAAACCUUCAAAAGUCUCUAGUGCAGUCAUUAUCAGAUUAAAAUGUAACUGGGAAAUGUUUAAUAAAAAUAAAUAAUACAGUGCAACAUAGAUGAUAUUAAUGUGUGGUUCUCUAAGCAUCAGGGAUUUAUUUGCAUGUGAUUUGCUGCCAUUGGACUAGAAGAUCCUCUAAGGUCUUUUCUAGUUCUAAAUCUAUGACCUUACAACUACCUUAGUAAAAUUUUUAAGCAUAAUUGCCGCCAAAAAAGGCUAAAAAAAAAUGAGAUUAAAAAAGGAUUAUUAAACAGGCAUAUCAAUGGGAUAAAUGUUCUGCUUUCCAUUAUAGUAGCUUGACCGUUAUGGAAAAUAAAAUCCUCACAAAAGCAGUUUUUCCUUUUUCUGAUUCUACACACAAAUGGAAGAGGGGCUGUAUAUGCCCUAAAAUUUGAAAAAAAAAGGGGGGGGAAGAGUUUUAGUUUCCUCUUGCCUUGCUAUCUAACAUGAUGAUCAAAUUACUCUCAAAUCUUUUCUUAAAUUUGUAGGAAAAUCAGACUUCUGAUUUCUAGGAAAUGUUCCUGUUUCCCUCCCUUUCUUUUUCUCAUUCUUAUGCCUUAGUUGUAGGACAACCAUGCUAAACCAGGCUUGGUGUUGAAUACUUAUGAACCUUAUGGACCCUGAUAUUAGGGCAAUUAAAGUUGGUCCAUCACUUGAGUUCAAGAGUUCUCAACUUUCCACACUACACCCACCACCAACAUGGUAAGCCCUAGAAAAUGGAAGGGGCAUCAGGUCUCUUGAGGAGAGACAAAAAAACCAGGUCUAAACCAGAUUUCAACAUUGGAAUCACCUCAUUAGUGGUCAUGAUAAGCUCCUGUACUUCCAUCCUUGGUGAGAAAUACUAUCUUUGGGGGAAAAUAACAUGAAAAAGAUUGGUUUUAAUUUUUAGGUAUUCAUUUGUUGGUUUUGUUGGUUUAAUUUCUAAGUAUUUGUAGAUCAAUAAUCUAGCAAACAUUUGUUAAGCCUUAUGUACCAGGCACUGUACUAAGCCCUGGGAGUACAAAAACACACUUAGGAACUGACCUUAAGGAGCUUACAUUCUAAUGGGAUGACUGUCCUCUCACUGGAAAAGUUAGGAGUUCACUUCCUUUUUCUUCUAUAUUAGCUCUCAAUUCAGUGUAUACAUCUGCUACAGGGUAUAUGAUUUUAUUGCAUAUGACCCUGCAAGUGAAGGUGGAAGUUUCAGAGAGCGAGAUGUAUGGAUAAUUAGAGUUAUCCAAAAGUGUGAUGAGUUUUUGGAAUGAUAAACUCAUAGAGGAGAGGAAUUGUUUCAUUUUCAAGGAUUUGUAUAUCAAGGUAGCAAGGUAGUAGAGUGGAUAGAAUUCUGAACCUGGAGUCAGUAGACUCAUCUUCAAAUCCAGCCUCAGAUACUUGAUGGUUGUUUGACAUGGGCAAGUUGCAUACUUCUAUUUACCUCAGUUUCCCCAAAUGAGCUGGAAAGGGAAAUGGCAAACUACUCCAGUAUCUUUGCUAAGAAAACCCCAUAUGGGGUCGUGAAAAGUCAGACAUGAAUGAAAUAACUAAACAACAAAAUAACAGCACAUUGCUGGUAACACAGUAGGUACUUAACAAAUGCUUCUUAAUUGAAUGAAUGACUGACAAUCUUUGGAAGUCAGGAAGAUUGAUAGGAUAAUAGAUCAAGAGCUGGAAGAGAGCGCAUUGACCAUCUAGUUCACUCCCUCAUUUUAUACAUGAAGAAAGUAUAGAAUGGAUGUGGAAUCUAAACUCCUAUUGGGAAUGGACUACUUCAUUUUUGUCUUUGUAUCCCAUGAUCUAGCACAGUACCUUGUAGACACUAAGCAUUCAAAAAAAGCUUUUUUAUAAAUUGAAUAGUAGAUUUUCUCUCAUUGGACAGUACCUUGUUGGUGACGCUGUAGAAUUUAAGUUUCUCAAGGGAGAGGACUAUAUAAUUUUGGAGUUUGUAUCCACAGUACCAAGGUCAGUGUCUGUCAAACAUUAGGUGCUUAAUCAAUGUGUCAAAUAACAAUAAAAUGGAACAGAUGAGAUUCUUUUUCAAGGAUGGAUUUCAUUAUAAGGAGGCAUCAUGGCAUAGUGGUAAGAACAUGGGAAUUAAAAUCAGAAACUGUAGAUUCUAAUCUGGUCUCUGUUCCUUAUUUAUCACCUUUAGUAUCUUGGAUAAAUCAUUGUAAUUUCUAAUUUUUAGUUUACUUGUCUAUACAAUAAGGGACUUAGAUUAAAUGAUUUCUAAGGCCUCUUUUAGCUCUUCUUUUAGGGACUCUGCAGUUAACUUAUCAGUGGCCCAAAAUGUGAAUGUGUUUGGGUCUUUAUUAAACAAAACAUGAUACAGAGAAAGAAGGGCAUAUAUCUCUGUCCUCUGACCUGGUCAACUAUAUCUACAGUACUUGGGUCACUUCUGGGCUCAAUGCUCCCAUAAUUUAUGAAAGACAUUCAUAGCUGGGGAGCAUCCAGAGGAUGCCACUCAGAAUCUUGAGUUUCUAUCAAAUAAGUAACAAAAGAAGGGAUGGGGGUGAAAAAACCUUUAAGAAAGAAGAAAAGAAGAUUGGGAUGGGAAAGUCAUGACAGUUGUUUUCAAAUAUGCAAUGGGCUCUCAUAUGGAUAAGGGUUUGAACCUGUUCUACUUGGGCCAAGAAGGCAGACUCAGGAGGAUGUGGGAAAAUUAUAAAGCAGCAAAUUUACUGUUGGGGUCAGGAAAAAUUUCCUAACAAUGGGAACCAUCCCAAAGUGAAAUGUGCAAUCUUCACCCUUUCAAUUUCUCCACUGGAUGUCUUCAAAUGGAAGGAGGAUGAACACUUUAGAAUAUGCUAUAGUGGGGAUCCCUUUCCAGUCUGGAUUGGCUUACACGUGACUGUUGAGAUCCUUUCCAAAUUUGAGAUUUUGUGAUUUGAGAAUUCUGUGAAGUUUUUUGUUUGUUUGUUUCUUCCCCCAUCCACUCAUCUAACCUGAGAGUCUAUGAAUUUAGGAGCCUAGUAUCUAGUGAUGUGAAGUCAUGUGAAGGGAAAUCUAAACUUUUAUUCUCAAAGAAGAAGAAAUUAUUUCCAAUUUUUUCUGGUCUAAUGACUUUCUCUAGCCAGUUCUAUAUAAUUCCACAAUCACCAGAAUAUUUCAACUCAUAAAAGCUCAUGAUAUUUUUUUCUUCCUCUACAUUACCUAAAUAAUUUUUUAGAUAAAUAAGGACACUGUGGACAGAACAGGAUUUUGUUUUCUUUUGCCUGGUGCCUUUAAUAAUCUGCAAGUAGAGCAGAUCAAACUAGUCAUAUCUUGUAUAUGACUGAUAUAUAAAGUAUAUCAAAGAUAUACACUAUUUAAAAACCAAUUGACCAUCAGCAGACUAGACAGUCUCUUGGUCUCUUACUUAAAUAUUACCUUGGGUGAGAUGUGAUGGUACACAUCUGUAAUACCAGCUGCCUAGGAGUUAAAGCUGAGGCUAGGAAGCUUCUUGAAUAUGGGGAUGCUGAAUCGCAAUGGCUAAGCCAUUUCAGCAUUAUUAAUAAGUUUGGCAUUAUUGGGAUGAAGCACCAAGAACAGGGAGCUGCAAGGUUGCUAAGAAGGUGCAAAGCAGCCCAGAUCAGAAAAAGAGGAGGUCAAAACUUCUGUGCUGACUACUCAUAAAGGGUCCAAACCCACGAGUCAUACCUAUAUAUCUAGCAU
Molecule: long non-coding RNA, 5031 nt
Filed under: Sarcophilus harrisii (Tasmanian devil)
Lineage: Eukaryota; Metazoa; Chordata; Mammalia; Dasyuromorphia; Dasyuridae
Description: lncRNA (ENSSHAG00000022960.1)
Source: RNAcentral